ACCGAGAAGGUCUACGGUUCGAGCCCGUAUAGCCCUA
Molecule: transfer RNA, 37 nt
Filed under: Picea abies (Norway spruce)
Lineage: Eukaryota; Viridiplantae; Streptophyta; Pinopsida; Pinales; Pinaceae
Also listed under: 3 other names
Description: tRNA-Val
Source: RNAcentral